RNAcentral lists this small nuclear RNA (105 nucleotides) under Salvator merianae (Argentine black and white tegu). Lineage: Eukaryota; Metazoa; Chordata; Lepidosauria; Squamata; Teiidae. The record is from RNAcentral.
GUGCUCGCUUCGACAGCACAUAUACUAAAAUUGAAAUGAUACAGAGAAGAUUAGCAUGGCCCCUGCACAAGUAAUUAAAAAAAAAUGGCUAUCUAGCAGAGUUGU